This 504-nucleotide long non-coding RNA is filed under the name Homo sapiens (human). Its description in RNAcentral is "HSALNT0027798". The record is from RNAcentral. Lineage: Eukaryota; Metazoa; Chordata; Mammalia; Primates; Hominidae.
CCUUGCUCCAACCCACGGCUCCUGGGCUGGCCUAGCCCCACCACCACUUGCCAUCAUGUGGGAUGGAUGCCCAGUGCUGGCAGAGGGCAAGAAAGCUACAUUGGUGCCAGUCCUUUAGCACCUAUCAUUCGGCAGGUCGCAAGAUCUUUUCCUGCAUCCAAGAAGAAUGAGGUUACAUGGACAGCUGGAGGGCGAGCAGGGCAGAGAAGAGUUUUACUGAGUGACGGAACAUCUCUCAGCGGAGAGGGGUCCUGAAGUGGACAACGCCUACCCGAAGCUCCUGGAUAUUGGUGUUCUGCUGAUCCUUCAUACUUUUCACUGCAUUGAUUACCUGAACUCUGCAAGAGAUUUUGGACUCCAAAUCAAAGAUCAAAGCGUCUUGGAUUAGUCAUUUGAUCUUGGCUUCUGAGGGCUCAUUUGUAGAGUGGUGAGAAUAAUAUCUAACUUGCUAAUCUUUCAGAGACAUUCUGAGAGACAUAUGCAAAAGAAACUUGUAAAUAAAAA